RNAcentral lists this ribosomal RNA (492 nucleotides) under uncultured bacterium. Its description in RNAcentral is "partial 16S ribosomal RNA". It matches the Rfam family "Bacterial small subunit ribosomal RNA", at positions 29 to 507 of the family's 1533-position model. The record is from RNAcentral.
AGUGAACGCUGGCGGUAGGCCUAACACAUGCAAGUCGAACGGCAGCACAGUAAGAGCUUGCUCUUACGGGUGGCGAGUGGCGGACGGGUGAGGAAUACAUCGGAAUCUACUUUUUCGUGAGGGAUAACGUAGGGAAACUUACGCUAAUACCGCAUACGACCUACGGGUGAAAGCAGGGGAUCUUCGGACCUUGCGCGAUUGAAUGAGCCGAUGUCGGAUUAGCUAGUUGGCGGGGUAAAGGCCCACCAAGGCGACGAUCCGUAGCUGGUCUGAGAGGAUGAUCAGCCACACUGGAACUGAGACACGGUCCAGACUCCUACGGGAGGCAGCAGUGGGGAAUAUUGGACAAUGGGCGCAAGCCUGAUCCAGCCAUACCGCGUGGGUGAAGAAGGCCUUCGGGUUGUAAAGCCCUUUUGUCGGGAAAGAAAAGCAGCAGGUUAAUACCCCGCUGUUCUGACGGUACCCAAAGAAUAAGCACCGGCUAACUUCGUG